CAAGCCCUUGCCACGCUCCCAGACUACUGCCUCACCAGGAUGGAGCUCUUAUGCAUUAUACAUGUUAAACAUCUCCUAUUCAGUGCUAACUUUGACUUUGUGCCCUGGGCCAGUCGACUUUUUGGCAAAAUACUGCAUCUUCAGCCAGGAGAAGUUGGCGAAGUACAAAAGGGCUUUUGAAGCGGAGGUUCUGAGUUAUGCUGUCGUCUACCUGGGAGUGCUUAAGUUUCUUCCUCUGCAAGAUGAUGUGGCCAAGCCCAUUAGAUUUGGUGGAGACCCUGAAGAUUUUGUUGAAGGGGCAGAAGAGGACACUUUUUGAAGAUGGAGGAAGCUUUCUUAGGCUAUAGGAAGAGAAGGAGCCUUAGACAGAGAUGUCAGAGGAUGCACAAAAGACCUUUCUACUUGUCUACUAUGAGACACAGUUGAGAUGACAAAAAAAAGUAAAGGAAUAGGUAAAAGUAUAGUUUGUGAAUGACUUUGAAGUAAAAACAGUUGGUUUUGGUAAAAGAAGCUGAAAAACUUAUCAAUUUUCACUUAUACAAAUCUAUUUUCUCCAUCUGUGAGUCUUCUCCAGAUAAAGACUCUUAGGCUCUAUAGUGCCUAAAUAUAACUGACACAUUAUCUCAUUGUGAAACUUAAUGAACAUUUGAGUCUGGACAUAAAGACCGGUGAGGUCAGGGUAUGCGUUAGCCCUGUAUAACAUCAAGUUAAAGACUGUGAUGGCAACUUCCUCUUUUCUUUCAGCAUUUCUUAAUAGUCACAUGAUUUUUUUAUUGUCAGUCAUAUUUCUAAUUCAGCUUUGUUGUGUUACGUAUCCAGAAAUAACAAAUUGUUGAAGAAAAUGAUGUGGAGCCAAAAAAAAUAUAUAUAUAUGCUAAACUACUGUGCUUCUUUGCUUAGUGCAGGCAAAGAUUAAGAGUUCCCAAGGCUUUCCCUCAGUUUGAAAAUGGAAGCAGAGAUUAACCAUACCUUGUCAAAGCUGCGCUUCCAAGACACUGGAGUUCUGCUCAUAGAUGAGUGGCUUAUUUUCUGAAAACUUAAUACUGUGAGUAUCUUUCUAGGGUGAUACUGUUGAAGAUGGGUACUCGAACUGCUGGCAAGUUUUGAUGGCCUUGAAAGAUGUUGCUUCAGAAGCACUGAUUUAUGCAGGAAGUAAACCUAACAGAUCUCUCCCUUCAAAAAUGUGAGAGAGUGGCAAAUAUUUGCCGUAUCAUACCAUCAUAAUUUAUUUGUAGUAAUUGGUUGGUCAAAGCCCCCCUUAAAUAAAGAAAGUGCCCUGACUAGCAGCAGCAUUGGCACAUGUGGGAGGUAUUUAUUUCAUAG
Molecule: long non-coding RNA, 1323 nt
Organism: Gallus gallus (chicken)
Lineage: Eukaryota; Metazoa; Chordata; Aves; Galliformes; Phasianidae
Source: Ensembl